UGGGGGAUAUUGCACAAUGGGCGAAAGCCUGAUGCAGCGACGCCGCGUGGGGGAUGAAGGCCUUCGGGUUGUAAACUUCUUUUGCUCUGAACAAGGCAUGCCUUUGUGGCGUGUUGAGUGUAGGGGUUGAUUAGCGCCGGCUAACUACGUGCCAGCAGCCGCGGUAAUACGUAGGGCGCGAGCGUUGUCCGGAAUUAUUGGGCGUAAAGGGCUUGUAGGUGGCUGUUUGCGUCUGUCGUGAAAGCUCAUGGCUUAACUGUGGGUGUGCGGUGGGUACGGGCUGGCUUGAGUGCAGUAGGGGAGGCUGGAAUUCCUGGUGUAGCGGUGGAAUGCGAAGAUAUCAGGAGGAAUACCGGUGGCGAAGGCGGGUCUCUGGGCUGUUACUGACGCUGAGGAGCGAAAGCGUGGGGAGCGAACAGG
Molecule: ribosomal RNA, 420 nt
Filed under: Fusobacteriota bacterium
Lineage: Bacteria; Fusobacteriati; Fusobacteriota
Description: Fusobacteria bacterium partial 16S ribosomal RNA
Rfam family: Bacterial small subunit ribosomal RNA
Source: RNAcentral